Molecule: ribosomal RNA, 477 nt
Filed under: uncultured bacterium
Lineage: Bacteria
Description: partial 16S ribosomal RNA
Rfam family: Bacterial small subunit ribosomal RNA
Source: RNAcentral
AUUGAACGCUGGCGGCAUGCCUUACACAUGCAAGUCGAACGGUAACAGGUUAAGCUGACGAGUGGCGACCGGGUGAGUAAUACAUCGGAACGUGCCCAGUAGUGGGGGAUAGCCCGGCGAAAGCCGGAUUAAUACCGCAUACGACCUAAGGGUGAAAGGGGGGGAUCGCAAGACCUCUCGCUAUUGGAGCGGCCGAUGUCAGAUUAGCUAGUUGGUGGGGUAAAAGCUCACCAAGGCGACGAUCUGUAGCUGGUCUGAGAGGACGACCAGCCACACUGGGACUGAGACACGGCCCAGACUCCUACGGGAGGCAGCAGUGGGGAAUUUUGGACAAUGGGCGCAAGCCUGAUCCAGCCAUGCCGCGUGUGGGAAGAAGGCCUUCGGGUUGUAAACCGCUUUUGUCAGGGAAGAAAUCCUUUGGGUUAAUACCUCGGGGGGAUGACGGUACCUGAAGAAUAAGCACCGGCUAACUACGUG